GAGCUUUCUACUUGUAGUAUUAUUCGUUUUGAAGUUUUUGGAGGCUUUGAGAACACCCAGCGGGAAGCUCGUACUAUACAGCAUCAGUGUAGUCAAAAAUAGGUUACACGAUUGAAUUGUAAACACAUUCAGAUGCCUCAACUGUCAAGCAAGACCGUAUUCGCUUGCUCACUCUGUUGCAGAUCUCUUCCGUAUCAUAUUCUUUCCAUGAUUUUUGUUCAUCUACCAUUACGCCUAAGUAACUAAACUUUGGCACUCUUUCAAAUAGUUUGCCCUGUUGUUGGAUGGUAAAGUCUCCGAAACGACUAAGUUUUAUUUGUUCCAGAAAGCAUAACCUUAGUUUUGCUGUAAUUUAAAAAAAAUCUACUGGAAGUCACCCAUUGUGCAACACGAUAUAAGUCAUUUUGAAGGGUUUUCAUUAUCUCAUUGGUAUCAGAACCAGAAAAAUAAAUU
Molecule: non-coding RNA, 453 nt
Organism: Paramuricea clavata
Lineage: Eukaryota; Metazoa; Cnidaria; Anthozoa; Malacalcyonacea; Plexauridae
Source: the annotation of a GenBank genome assembly